GACGAACGCUGGCGGCGUGCUUAACACAUGCAAGUCGAACGGUGACGGAGAGCUUGCUCUCCUGAUCAGUGGCGAACGGGUGAGUAACACGUGGGCAACCUGCCCAGACUUCGGGAUAACGCUUCGAAAGAGGUGCUAAUACCGAAUACGAACCUCCUGGCAUCUGGGAGGUUGGAAAGUUUUUCGGUCUGGGAUGGGCCCGCGGCCUAUCAGCUUGUUGGUGAGGUAACGGCUCACCAAGGCGACGACGGGUAGCCGGCCUGAGAGGGCGACCGGCCACACUGGGACUGAGACACGGCCCAGACUCCUACGGGAGGCAGCAGUGGGGAAUAUUGCGCAAUGGGCGAAAGCCUGACGCAGCAA
This 363-nucleotide ribosomal RNA is filed under the name uncultured bacterium. RNAcentral's name for it is "bacterial SSU rRNA". It matches the Rfam family "Bacterial small subunit ribosomal RNA", at positions 28 to 394 of the family's 1533-position model. The record is from RNAcentral.